AUGGACCGUGUGAUGACAUACAUAAAGCUGCUUCACAAGGAGGUUCUCAAUAUACCCGAAAGAUGUGCACAUAUGGUAAUGGAAAAGUUGAACACGGAAGGUAUGCUGUACGAACCCAAUAAGAGGGACACCAAUGACGAAUUUGAUAAUGUAGGUGAAGGAGUUGGGAUGGAGAAUGGCCAGUACAAGUCAUCAAAAUAUUGGCCAGAUAUUGAUUCACCUACCGACGUGGAGCUAGUAACAUCUUUCACAUGUUUCAAUGAUACCGACGUGCCCGUUGAUGACACGGGUGCUCCGACGACGACACCGGGUAAAGGUGACGCUACUGAUCCUUUCAUUAUAGACGAUAAUGGAAAGUCUCCAUGUUCGUCAUCAACGGAACGUACAAAAGAGUUUCCGUCUAUGUCCCGAACCCCGCAGAAUGCUGAUAUUUCUGGUGAGUCUAUGGGUGGUUUGUCACCAACAAAGUCUGAAGACAUGUCUGAGAGUUUCCCGGCAAAGAGCAACAUAGGUAAUGGUGAAGACAGUCAGGACAAUGAAGAUCUGUUUGCAUCGUCACCCUAUUCAAUUCUGGCAAGUUCUCUUAAUAUGACUCCGGAUCACAUAGAGGAAGCCAGAGUUUUUGUUGAGACUCUCGCAUCGACAAAGAAGCAUGCACACUGA
This 663-nucleotide ribosomal RNA is filed under the name Triticum aestivum (bread wheat). RNAcentral's name for it is "partial small subunit ribosomal RNA". The record is from RNAcentral. Lineage: Eukaryota; Viridiplantae; Streptophyta; Magnoliopsida; Poales; Poaceae.